This 1125-nucleotide long non-coding RNA is filed under the name Calidris pugnax (ruff). RNAcentral describes it as "lncRNA (ENSCPUG00000005984.1)". The stretch from base 700 to 781 matches the Rfam family "let-7 microRNA precursor family". Lineage: Eukaryota; Metazoa; Chordata; Aves; Charadriiformes; Scolopacidae. The record is from RNAcentral.
GUUAGAAACCCCCAAAACUGCAGGAUUCGUACAAAGCAGAGCACUGAUUCACUAGACCUUGCAAGAAUAUGCAGGAAAAACAAAAAACCAAAAGGUAACCUGAACUUCCAAAAGAAGGUUUUGACUACAAUUUUAAUUCUUUUAAUUCUAUACCCUUCUAGUAUUAAAAUGAGUAAAAAAUAAUGCCUGACUGAUGUAACAUCAAUAAAAUUGCUUUUUUUUUUGUGAUAGGUAGAAGACAGCCCACCUGAUGAACUUUCAUAAGGUGCAUUUGUUACAGAGUGAGGUUUUCCUAAUGUCCUGUGUGCACUUUAUGAUCUCAAGCCAGACUGCUGUGUAUAAACACAGGAUAACAAUUGGAACUCUGUUCUCCAGGUGUCCUUGCUGAGAAGGGGACUGUAAGUCACAUCUGUCUGAUGAGAGUUUACAUCUGUGAAACACAAAUAGUACUUUAACAGAGAAGUUUAAUGACUGUGACUGCUUGCUACGACUGCUACUUGCUAACUCUCUAAAGAUGAAACUGGUAAAAUUUUGAAAUUAAGGAAUCUUACCUUUAAAAUAACUUUAUUGCAUGACUGGGAGGAGUAAGAGGAAUGGUUUUCCUGUGAUCAGUAUUUUAUCUGUAGAUGCUGCAGCAGCAGCCUGACUUGUCUUUGCCGAGGCCACCCUUUCCCCAGCAGCCACGAAGACACCUGCGCUGUGGGAUGAGGUAGUAGGUUGUAUAGUUUUAGGGUCAUACCCACAACUGGGAGAUAACUAUACAAUCUACUGUCUUUCCUAAAGCAGCAGAAAAUCAUCAAUGGAAACGUCUCGCUGUUAAGCUCAACGUCAGAUUCUACUGAACUUUUGUACUUGUAAUGCUUACGGGGAAAAUAAUUUGUCUUGAUCUAUAUAUUGUGUUUAGAUUUUUCUAAUUCUUGGGAAAGCUAGAUUCUACAUUCAUUCUACAUUCAUUUUUCUCCUUUAACAAGUGAAAAAUUAAGAACAGACUGAUUCCUGUAUGUGUAUGGUGGGGUAAUCAAGUACAAAAGAUUGCUCUAAUUGUUGUGGUGUUUAACGUUGCUACCCUAAGUAUCGAAUACUCUUUAGAAUAAAACUCUGGUCAGCUCCUUAAGCUCUUUGCUG